GGAGUUGUAGUUCUCAAAACAACUGGAGGACACUAGGUUGAAGAAGGCUACUGUAAUGACAUUUGGGAGCAAAGGGGCUUAAGUGCCUCUGAAACAAAGGGACACUGAAGAUUUGAAGACUUCCUUUUCCAAAAAAAUGAAACCAACCUGAAUUGGUGUGCAUAAUGCAUCAGGAAGAAAAGACUUUGCACGUUUUAUUUUAUUUUUCUAAAUUAAAUAAAGGCUAGCUUUUAAAAGAG
Molecule: long non-coding RNA, 239 nt
Organism: Lacerta agilis (Sand lizard)
Lineage: Eukaryota; Metazoa; Chordata; Lepidosauria; Squamata; Lacertidae
Exons: 2
Source: RefSeq, a predicted model, not a curated record